UGGCGGACGGGUGAGUAAUGUCUGGGAAACUGCCUGAUGGAGGGGGAUAACUACUGGAAACGGUAGUUAAUACCGCAUAACGUCGCAAGACCAAAGAGGGGGACCUUAGGGCCUCUUGCCAUCGGAUGUGCCCAGAUGGGAUUAGCUAGUAGGUGGGGUAAAGGCUCACCUAGGCGACGAUCCCUAGCUGGUCUGAGAGGAUGACCAGCCACACUGGAACUGAGACACGGUCCAG
RNAcentral lists this ribosomal RNA (235 nucleotides) under uncultured bacterium. RNAcentral describes it as "partial 16S ribosomal RNA". It matches the Rfam family "Bacterial small subunit ribosomal RNA", at positions 96 to 334 of the family's 1533-position model. The record is from RNAcentral.